Molecule: signal recognition particle RNA, 244 nt
Filed under: Desulfobacteraceae bacterium IS3
Lineage: Bacteria; Pseudomonadati; Thermodesulfobacteriota; Desulfobacteria; Desulfobacterales; Desulfobacteraceae
Also listed under: 1 other name
Description: signal recognition particle sRNA large type
Rfam family: Bacterial large signal recognition particle RNA
About the family: The signal recognition particle (SRP) is a universally conserved ribonucleoprotein involved in the co-translational targeting of proteins to membranes. Archaeal SRP consists of a 7S RNA and homologues of the eukaryotic SRP19 and SRP54 proteins.
Source: RNAcentral
UUGCGCUAGGCAGGGAGCCGGCGGUGCCCUCGACCCGAAAUCCGCUUUAUGCGGGGCUGAUUUCCCUUUCGGGGAUUUUUCCGAACUAAGCCAAGUUGAUUGAGCGGUCGCCGUGCAACAGAUAGUCAUGAACCUCGUCAGGUCCGGAAGGAAGCAGCGAUAAGUGAUGAUGCUGUGUCACGGAUUGAUCCCGCUUGUUUGACAAAGCUAUGUUUCGGAUCAUAGUCCGAGAGAGGGGGCGCAA